AUGAUGUGGUUAAGAAGAUGUCACUAUGAAUUUUGCAGGGUUUGCAAAAUACCUUUCGAGGGUAGCUUAGAGGAACCACAUCGUAGAGAUGUGGAUGGGUUUAUUGAUACUAUUAAUGUAGGGAAAACUAGGAAGGUUUCCGAUGAAAGAAUCAUUAGCAUACAUUUUCAUGUUUUACGCUACUUUGCAAUAUUUGCAAGUCGUUGCUUAAUUGGUCGCGGAAACUGUGGAAACCUUAGUGUUCCUGAUAUUAUUAUUUUGUUCCAUGCUUUAUUCCGUGAUGACUCUGUUAGUAUGGGCGCUAUUAUUGCCAAACGGUUAAGUCUGAACCAUACAAAGGGCCCCAUCUUUGGAGGUGUCUAUGCUUAG
This 369-nucleotide ribosomal RNA is filed under the name Triticum aestivum (bread wheat). RNAcentral describes it as "partial small subunit ribosomal RNA". The record is from RNAcentral. Lineage: Eukaryota; Viridiplantae; Streptophyta; Magnoliopsida; Poales; Poaceae.